CGCAAUGGGCGAAAGCCUGACGGAGCAACGCCGCGUGAGGGACGAAGGCCUCUGGGCUGUAAACCUCUUUUCUCAAGGAAGAAGAUAUGACGGUACUUGAGGAAUAAGCCACGGCUAAUUCCGUGCCAGCAGCCGCGGUAAUACGGGAGUGGCAAGCGUUAUCCGGAAUUAUUGGGCGUAAAGCGUCCGCAGGCGGCUUUUCAAGUCUGCUGUUAAAGCGUGGAGCUUAACUCCAUCAUGGCAGUGGAAACUGAAAGGCUUGAGUAUGGUAGGGGCAGAGGGAAUUCCCGGUGUAGCGGUGAAAUGCGUAGAUAUCGGGAAGAACACCAGUGGCGAAGGCGCUCUGCUGGGCCAUUACUGACGCUCAUGGACGAAAGCCAGGGGAGCGAAAGGGAUUAGAUACCCCUGUAGUCCUGGCCGU
This 421-nucleotide ribosomal RNA is filed under the name uncultured bacterium. RNAcentral describes it as "bacterial SSU rRNA". It matches the Rfam family "Bacterial small subunit ribosomal RNA", at positions 367 to 803 of the family's 1533-position model. The record is from RNAcentral.